CUUUAUUGGUGUUGGGGAGCUUGUGGUGGACUGCAGGACCCGAUUUUUUGAGGUAAACGUAUUAACAGGUGUGACGCAGGAAGGUAGCAGAACCGGGCCGAUGGUUGAGUCCGGGUAAGCCGUAGGGCGUGGGAUAGGCAAAUCCGUCCCACAUACAGCCUGAGAGCUUUGCCGAACCCUAGAGGGAAGUCUGUGAUCCUAUGCUGCCAAGAAAAGCCUCGACGCGAGGUUCUAGCCGCCCGUACCCCAAACCGACUCAGGUGGUCAGGUAGAGAAUACCAAGGAGAUCGAGAGAAUCGUGGUUAAGGAACUCGGCAAAAUGCCCCCGUAACUUCGGGAGAAGGGGGGCCACAACCGGUGAUACCAACAUGCGUGGUUGAGCUGGUUGGGGUCGCAGAAAAGAGAGGGAAGCGACUGUUUAUCAAAAACACAGGUCCAUGCGAAGUCGUAAGACGAUGUAUACGGACUGACUCCUGCCCGGUGCUGGAAGGUUAAGAGGACCGGUUAGUGACUUUUUUGUUGCGAAGCUGAGAAUUUAAGCCCCAGUAAACGGCGGUGGUAACUAUAACCAUCCUAAGGUAGCGAAAUUCCUUGUCGGGUAAGUUCCGACCUGCACGAAUGGCGUAACGACUUCUCCACUGUCUCAACCACGAACUCGGCGAAAUUGCACUACGAGUAAAGAUGCUCGUUACGCGCAGCAUGACGGAAAGACCCCGUGACCUUUACUACAGCUUGGUAUUGGUGUUCGGUGUGGCUUGUGUAGGAUAGGUGGGAGACGGUGAAGCAUGGACGCCAGUUCAUGUGGAGUCAUUGUUGAAAUACCACUCUGGUCACUCUGGACAUCUAACUUCGAACCGUGAUCCGGUUCAGGGACAGUGCCUGGUGGGUAGUUUAACUGGGGCGGUUGCCUCCCAAAAUGUAACGGAGGCGCCCAAAGGUUCCCUCAGCCUGGUUGGCAAUCAGGUGUUGAGUGUAAGUGCACAAGGGAGCUUGACUGUGAGACAGACAUGUCGAGCAGGGACGAAAGUCGGGACUAGUGAUCCGGCAGUGGCUUGUGGAAGCGCUGUCGCUCAACGGAUAAAAGGUACCUCGGGGAUAACAGGCUGAUCUUGCCCAAGAGUCCAUAUCGACGGCAUGGUUUGGCACCUCGAUGUCGGCUCGUCGCAUCCUGGGGCGGA
This 1178-nucleotide ribosomal RNA is filed under the name Bubalus bubalis bubalis. Its description in RNAcentral is "bacterial LSU rRNA". It matches the Rfam family "Bacterial large subunit ribosomal RNA", at positions 1407 to 2556 of the family's 2925-position model. The record is from RNAcentral. Lineage: Eukaryota; Metazoa; Chordata; Mammalia; Artiodactyla; Bovidae.